GAUGAGAACGUAGCGAAAUGCGAUACUUGGUGUGAAUUGCAGAAUCCCGUGAACCAUCGAGUCUUUGAACGCAAGUUGCGCCCGAGGCCUCCUGGUCGAGGGCACGUCUGCCUGGGUGUCACGCAUCGUCGCCCCCUCUCCCCUCGGCUCGCGAGGGCGGGGGCGGAUACUGGUCUCCCGCGCGCUCCCACUCGCGGUUGGCCCAAAAUCGAGUCCUCGGCGACGGUCGCCACGACGAGCGGUGGUUGAGAGACCCUCGGACACGGUCGUGCGCGCGCCUGUCGCCCCCGGGAUCUCCUGGACCCUCGGGCAUCGAAAUUCUAGGAUGCUCUCGUUGCGACCCCAGGUCAGGCGGGACUACCCGCUGAGUUUAAGCAUAUCAAUAAGCGGAGGA
Molecule: unclassified non-coding RNA, 394 nt
Filed under: soil metagenome
Description: partial contains 5.8S ribosomal RNA, internal transcribed spacer 2, and large subunit ribosomal RNA
Rfam family: 5.8S ribosomal RNA (bases 5-121)
Source: RNAcentral